GACGAACGCUGGCGGCGCGCCUAACACAUGCAAGUCGAACGAGCGAGAGAGAGCUUGCUUUCUCGAGCGAGUGGCGAACGGGUGAGUAACGCGUGAGGAACCUGCCUCAAAGAGGGGGACAACAUCUGGAAACGACUGCUAAUACCGCAUAAGCGCACGGCUCGGCAUCGAGCAGGGGGAAAAGGAGCAAUCCGCUUUGAGAUGGCCUCGCGUCAGAUUAGCUAGUUGGUGAGGUAACGGCCCACCAAGGCGACGAGCGGUAGCCGGACUGAGGGGUUGCCAGGCCACGUUGGGACUGAGACACGGACCCGACUCGUACGGGGCGGAGCAGUAGGGAAUAUUGCGCACUGGGGGAAAACGUGAUGACGCGACGCCGCGUGGAGGAAGAAGGUCUUCGGAUUGUAAACUCCUGUUGUUGGGGAAGAUAAUGACGGUAACCAACAAGGAAGUGACGGCUAACUACGUG
Molecule: ribosomal RNA, 466 nt
Filed under: uncultured bacterium
Lineage: Bacteria
Description: partial 16S ribosomal RNA
Rfam family: Bacterial small subunit ribosomal RNA
Source: RNAcentral